AUCUGCGGUGUUUGUCAGUGACCGGGUAAUACUCUUGAGCCUAAUAUUUUACCCCGGGUUUGUCUUGCUAUAGCUGUUGUGCAUGUCCGCCCUGGUAGCGGAAAGCCUGAUGCCUGGCCGACAAUCCCACCUGAACCUUCGGUUCAAGGUCGAUGGUCGCAACGGCAUUGUGGAUG
RNAcentral lists this non-coding RNA (176 nucleotides) under marine sediment metagenome. RNAcentral's name for it is "6S / SsrS RNA". It matches the Rfam family "6S / SsrS RNA". Rfam says of the family: E. coli 6S RNA was the first non coding RNA to be sequenced, but its function was unknown until recently. It consists of 184 nucleotides that fold into an extended hairpin structure with a large single-stranded internal bulge. The 6S RNA specifically associates with RNA polymerase holoenzyme containing the sigma70 specificity factor. The record is from RNAcentral. RNAcentral also lists the same sequence under 1 other name.